This 253-nucleotide ribosomal RNA is filed under the name uncultured bacterium. Its description in RNAcentral is "partial 16S ribosomal RNA". It matches the Rfam family "Bacterial small subunit ribosomal RNA", at positions 524 to 776 of the family's 1533-position model. The record is from RNAcentral.
UACGUAGGUGGCAAGCGUUGUCCGGAUUUAUUGGGUUUAAAGGGUGCGUAGGCGGCCCGUUAAGUCAGUGGUGAAAGCCUCCAGCUCAACUGGAGAACUGCCAUUGAUACUGACGGGCUUGAGUACAGACGAGGUUGGCGGAAUUGAUUGUGUAGCGGUGAAAUGCAUAGAUACAAUCAAGAACUCCGAUUGCGUAGGCAGCUAACUAGGCUGUAACUGACGCUGAGGCACGAAAGCGUGGGGAGCGAACAGG